Molecule: long non-coding RNA, 716 nt
Filed under: Cricetulus griseus (Chinese hamster)
Lineage: Eukaryota; Metazoa; Chordata; Mammalia; Rodentia; Cricetidae
Description: lncRNA (ENSCGRG00015036518.1)
Source: RNAcentral
CUUAAUGUGUGCUUAAGGAAAGUAACUAAAACAGACAAACAGACCUCUAAUGCUUCAGAGAUCUGCAGAAUAUGGCAUUUAAAUUGUUAUUUUAAAAGUUUAUAAUAUCAGACAGACUGCCAGAUCCGGACAGUGACCCAAACCACCUAUAUGCUUAAUGUGUGCUUAAGAAAAGUAACUAAAACAGACAAACAGACCUCUAAUGCUUCAGAGAUCUUCAGAAUAUGGCAUUUAAAUUGUUAUCUUUAAAGUUUAUAAUGUCAGACAGACUGCCAGAUCCGGACAGUGACCCAAAGUCUCCAAAGAAGAUUACGAGGCACCUCAGUUCCUGCACCUGGACCAGUGAGCGAGAUGCUCAGAUGUGAUACCUGCCGCCUGCCAGAACCUGGCCGAGACUGUGGACAAAGCUGCUGGACACUGGAAAAUUGAUUGCACCCCUUUGCCUAGACAAAACAAGGUCAGUCUUUUCCAUGUCCGUCUUCCACAGAGAGAAAAAAACUCUCACAGUAUAGGCUUGGCGAGGAUUGCUGGUCUUUGAGACACCUGCCUCCAGCGGUAAUGGAGAAACUUGGGUUUGGCUAACUGUAUAUGGACUUGCUUCUGACUGGCUUCUGUCACUUUUUAGUAGAUUUGGAUAAAGUAUACCCUUCUCAGAUCUCUGAAAUAUUACUGGUUGUCAGCUUGACAGCAUCAGGCAGUCAGAUCCACUAUAGACU